AGUGAACGCUGGCGGCAGGCCUAACACAUGCAAGUCGAGCGGCAGCGCGGGGGCAACCCUGGCGGCGAGCGGCGGACGGGUGAGGAAUGCAUCGGAAUCUACCUCGUUGUGGGGGAUAACCUCGGGAAACCGGGACUAAUACCGCAUACGACCUACGGGUGAAAGUGGGGGACCUUCGGGCCUCACGCGAUGAGAUGAGCCGAUGCCGGAUUAGCUAGUUGGCGGGGUAAAGGCCCACCAAGGCGACGAUCCGUAGCUGGUCUGAGAGGAUGAUCAGCCACACUGGAACUGAGACACGGUCCAGACUCCUACGGGAGGCAGCAGUGGGGAAUAUUGGACAAUGGGCGCAAGCCUGAUCCAGCCAUGCCGCGUGUGUGAAGAAGGCCUUCGGGUUGUAAAGCACUUUGUUGGGAAGAAACGGUCGGAUUAAUACUUCGGCUGAAUGACGGUACCAAAGAAUAAGCACCGGCUAACUUCGUGCCAGCAGCCGCGGUAAAACGU
Molecule: ribosomal RNA, 501 nt
Filed under: uncultured bacterium
Lineage: Bacteria
Description: bacterial SSU rRNA
Rfam family: Bacterial small subunit ribosomal RNA
Source: RNAcentral